RNAcentral lists this ribosomal RNA (252 nucleotides) under uncultured Mollicutes bacterium. Its description in RNAcentral is "partial 16S ribosomal RNA". It matches the Rfam family "Bacterial small subunit ribosomal RNA", at positions 524 to 776 of the family's 1533-position model. Lineage: Bacteria; Bacillati; Mycoplasmatota; Mollicutes. The record is from RNAcentral.
UACGUAGGUGGCGAGCGUUAUCCGGAUUUAUUGGGCGUAAAGCGUGCGCAGGCGGUUUAUUAAGUCUAAGAUUAAAGCCCGGAGCUUAACUCCGGUUCGUCUUAGAAACUGGUAGACUUGAGUAUGGUAGAGGCAAAUGGAAUUCCUAGUGUAGCGGUGGAAUGCGUAGAUAUAUGGAAGAACACCAGUGGCGAAGGCGGCUCUCUGGUCUGCAACUGACGCUGAGGCUCGAAAGCAUGGGUAGCGAACAGG